CCUACGGGUGGCAGCAGUGGGGAAUUUUCCACAAUGCUCGAAAGCGUGACGCAGCGACGCAGCGUGCAUGACGAAGGCCUUCGGAUCGUAAAGUUCUGUCGACAGGGAAGAAAAUGCCUAUAAGUAACUGAGUAUGUAUUGACGGUACCUGUUUAGACAGCCACGGCUAACUCCGUGCCAGCAGCCGCGGUAAUACGGAGGGGGCGAGCGUUGUUCGGAGUGAAUGGGCGUAAAGAGGACGUAGGCGGUGUUGUAAGUCUUUAGUCAAAGACUCGGGCGCAACUUUGGGACCGCUUGGGAUACUAGAAAACUAGAGUUAGAUAGAGGAUAGCAGAAUUCCAGGUGAAGCGGUGAAAUGCGUAGAUAUCAGGAGGAAUACCGAAAGCGAAGGCAGCAAACUGGCUCGAAACUGACGCUGAGGGGCGAAAGCGUGGGUAGCAAACAGGAUUAGAUACCCUAGUAGAC
RNAcentral lists this ribosomal RNA (465 nucleotides) under uncultured bacterium. RNAcentral's name for it is "partial 16S ribosomal RNA". It matches the Rfam family "Bacterial small subunit ribosomal RNA", at positions 338 to 795 of the family's 1533-position model. The record is from RNAcentral.